RNAcentral lists this transfer RNA (72 nucleotides) under Bos taurus (domestic cattle). It matches the Rfam family "tRNA". Rfam says of the family: Transfer RNA (tRNA) molecules are approximately 80 nucleotides in length. Their secondary structure includes four short double-helical elements and three loops (D, anti-codon, and T loops). Further hydrogen bonds mediate the characteristic L-shaped molecular structure. tRNAs have two regions of fundamental functional importance: the anti-codon, which is responsible for specific mRNA codon recognition, and the 3' end, to which the tRNAs corresponding amino acid is attached (by aminoacyl-tRNA synthetases). tRNAs cope with the degeneracy of the genetic code in two manners: having more than one tRNA (with a specific anti-codon) for a particular amino acid; and 'wobble' base-pairing, i.e. permitting non-standard base-pairing at the 3rd anti-codon position. Lineage: Eukaryota; Metazoa; Chordata; Mammalia; Artiodactyla; Bovidae. RNAcentral also lists the same sequence under 1 other name. The record is from Rfam by way of RNAcentral.
UCCCUGGUAGCUCAGCUGGUAAAGAAUCAGCCUGCCGUGCUGGAGACCUGGGUUUGAUCCCUGGUUUGGGAA